GACGAACGUUGGCGGCGUGCUUAAUACAUGCAAGUCAACUGAAGCAGUGGUAGCAAUAUCGCUGUGGAGGUGGCGCACGGGUGAGUAACACGUAGGUAAUCUGCCUUCAGGUCUGGCAUAACUCCGGGAAACCGGGGCUAAUAGCAGAUGAUGCAGCGGCUCGACAUCGAGACAGUUGUUAAAGCUAUGGCGCCUGAAGAUGAGCCUGCGUCUGAUUAGCUAGUUGGCGGGGUAACGGCCCACCAAGGCAACGAUCAGUAGCUGGUCUGAGAGGAUGAUCAGCCACACUGGAACUGAGGCACGGUCCAGACUCCUACGGGAGGCAGCAGUAAGGAAUAUUGCUCAAUGGGAGAAAUCCUGAAGCAGCAACGCCGCGUGAGGGACGAAGGGCUUUUGCUUGUAAACCUCUGUAGUGAGAGAAAAAAAUCCCAAUCUUUGGGACAUGAUGGUAUCUCAAAAGUAAGCCCCGGCUAACUACGUG
RNAcentral lists this ribosomal RNA (481 nucleotides) under uncultured bacterium. Its description in RNAcentral is "partial 16S ribosomal RNA". It matches the Rfam family "Bacterial small subunit ribosomal RNA", at positions 28 to 507 of the family's 1533-position model. The record is from RNAcentral.